AGUGAACGCUGGCGGCAGGCCUAACACAUGCAAGUCGAGCGGAUGAAGGGAGCGUGCUCCUGGUUUCAGCGGCGGACGGGUGGGUAAUGCCUAGGAAUCUGCCUGUUUGUGGGGUAUAACGUCCGGAAACGGGGGCUCAUACCGCAUAAGUCCUGAGGGCGAACGUGGGGGAUCUUCGGACCUCACGCUAUCAGACGAGCCUAGGUCGGAUUAGCUAGUUGGUGGGGUAAAGGCCUACCAAGGCGACGAUCCGUAACUGGUCUGAGAGGAUGAUCAGUCACACUGGAACUGAGACACGGUCCAGACUCCUACGGGAGGCAGCAGUGGGGAAUAUUGGACAAUGGGCGAAAGCCUGAUCCAGCCAUGCCGCGUGUGUGAAGAAGGUCUUCGGAUUGUAAAGCACUUUAAGUGGGGAGGAAGAGCAGUAAGUUAAUACCUUGCUGUUUUGACGUUACCAAAAGAAUAAGCACCGGCUAACUUCGUG
This 484-nucleotide ribosomal RNA is filed under the name uncultured bacterium. RNAcentral describes it as "partial 16S ribosomal RNA". It matches the Rfam family "Bacterial small subunit ribosomal RNA", at positions 29 to 507 of the family's 1533-position model. The record is from RNAcentral.